UUUUUUUAUUUUUUUAAGACUAGAGCUUUGAUCCUCUCUCUAGUACUUACUAGCUAUUGGGUGCUUGGCCAAUCUCAACCUUUAUGAACCUCAUUUUAUCCAUAAACUGAAGAUAAUGAUCCCCAGACAUCUCACUCUGGACUCUGGGCUGUUGCCAAGUAUCACCUGAGGCAAUGGAAAUAAAAGUAACUUGUAAACUGUGAAGUAAUACAUAAACAUAACAGAUUAAUGAUGAAGAUUUGUAAUUCCUAAGAGACUAACAUUCCAUCCUGGAAUGUUUGGGAUCAUGAAUAUAUUUCUUUCAACAGAAACAUGAGGUGUAUCUAUUCAUUUUUCAAUAAUUCCUGCUUGAAAAAAAUAGUAAUAGAACUGAUAACUCAAAAUACCAUAAAUGUUAUUUAUAUUUACUGUAAGAUUCAUUUUGCAUAACUUCUUGAUAAUGCAAAAAUUUAUGCCUUGAGAAAAAGUUGGAGUGCCUUGUACAAACAUCAACCUGAUGGCUGAGAGAAGAUGCCAAAAAGCACACUCCAGAAGGAAGCUGGUCUAGGAACUUAAAUGGCGUAGAUAAUUCACAUGUUUAAGAUUGAGGUUCAACUGUUAUAAAGCCUGCUGAAGCUUGACCAUCCAAAAUAAUGUUCACAAGUUCAUAUAAAAUCACAUUAGGGAUAAGAAACAUUUUAUUCUUAAUGUGAAUCAAUUAUACUUAGAAAUUAGAAAGCUGGACUUCUAAACAUCUGGCUCUUCAAUGUUAAGGCACAUAAGUAUUCAACUCAGGGAAACCCCGUGGACGUAUGGACCAUUCCUUUAUUUUAUUAACUUGUCUGCUAAGCUAACCUUAGUCAACUACAACUAUCACAAAAUACAACUUGUUCUGGGAAAGGGAAAGAGAGGGAGAGGGAGAGGGAGAGGGAGAGGGAGAGGGAGAUGGAGAGGGAGAAGGAGAGGGAGAGAGAGAGAGAGAGAUGGUGUGACUCUAUUCUAAUGUUCCAGUCUAGUCCCCAAGAGUCAGAGUGUACCCUGAAAAGACAAAGGGCCUGGCCUGGUGUGCUGUUGUUGGUUCAAGUUUCAAAGUAAAUAAGGAUGCCAGAGAGAUGUUUUAAAGAGGACAUUCCAGUUCAAAAAUACACUUAUAAGAAAGUCCCUCAGAUAAAUUCUUUUGCGUUAAUCUUAUCUUCAAAUAAUAGAUGUAUGCACCAAGUGCCUACUUUUAGUGUCCUAACAUCUUUUAAGACCCAGUUUAGGUGAACAUACCCCUUUCAUGUCAGUUCUCCGGCCUGGCCUUUCUGCCCUGUGGGAAGUGACCUGCUGCACUCCUCCCCAGGCAGUCUCCAACACCAUGUCCAUUUUUUUCCACAUGACUUCCCUAAAAAGUGCUGGCUAACUCUGCCAACUGCUGGGUUCCAGGAUGGCCCAAGGAACACCAUCUGAGCUGCUGUUUAUGAAAUUACUAAACAAAACAUGAUUGAAACUGCCCAUUUCUUUUUCUUUUGUUUAAGGUAGAGCACAUUACACAACACCAUAACCAAAGUACUGAUCAUUUCAAGAAAAACCAAAGCUUCAAGCUUUAGCUCCCAUUCUAGCUAUCACCCUGUUCACAAAACCUUCACCAUUAAACUUGGGUUCUAAGUUUAUAUUUCCCUCAGUUCCCAUGGCCCCCAGUAUGGUUCAAAUAAAAUAUAGAACCAUCUAAUUAAAUCUGAGUAUCAAAUAAACAAGAAAUAUUUUAGUAUAAGUAUGUCUCAAAUAUUGCAUUUUUUAUUAAACUUUUAUACUAAAAAAAAUUUCCUUGUUUAUCUGAAAUCCAAAUUUAAUUUGGUGUCCUAUAUUUUUAUUUACUAAAUAUGGCAACUCACAGCCCCACCUCCACUACAACAAUGGAUAAAAUCAGCAUGCCCUUAAAGAACACACUAACUGUGAAACUCACUUUUAUUUGCUGGCUCUGAAUUUAAUCCCUUUAGAAUACAGGGCAUGUAGAUAACAUAGCAAACUAUAAAAAUAAGCAGGAUCACAUUACUGGGACACCCUCUCUUUCCCCAACUGUGAAAUGGAAAGGGCUGAACUAGAUCUAAAAUUCCAUUAAACUACUGAAUUAUUAACAAACCUUUACCCACAUCAAAGUUAAUCAUCAAUGUCUUAAAAUUCUCAUGUCUCCUGGAAGAAGUUUCCUCACUAAAACACAAAACAACACCCCCCCCCCAAAAGAAAAACCCCAACUAACUCAAUUUGUCAUACACUUCUACUUCUCUUUCAAAAGCAUUUCCUGGAACUCAUCAACAGUAACGACUUCUCUUGUACAGUGGCUUGAAUGUCCGCCAGUAUUUGGCACCUUCUCUAGAUUCUGUUCACAGUCCCCUCUCUUAGCAAUGUUCAGGGUUACAGAAACUAGUGGUCUAGUCACACGAGGGGCCAUUAUCACAUGCUGUGAUCCCAAAUGUACUGAUUACCAAGAGGUCAUAUUAUUUUAGCAUUAGAUCCAAAACUAUUCUAAGAUGAAGUUGUGUCAUGAUCUCAUCAGACCAGUUAGGAAGGAAGGCAGACAUCUAAUUCAUGCUGACCCAAGACAGUCUAGAAGUGUCAACAUUAAUUAUAAGGAAUGGGAUAGGAUUUAUGUCCUUCUACAUAUCUAAAUUUGGUUCUAUUCAAAUGGCCUCAAGUACCAAUAUUGUUAUCUGUGAUACAGAUGGCAUCUAACCCAGUCCUAUUUGUUUAAUGAAAACCACUGACCAUAGGAGAACAAAAGUCUCCCAUGUUUUGUUUCAUCCGAAUCAUCCUCCUUGUUUUAAAUGUUUGGUUUGGGCAAUUAUGCUAAUUACAUUGGCAAACUGUGGCCCACAGGUCAAAUCUUGCCCUCUGCUUAUUUUGUAAUAAAAGUUUUUUUGGCCUACAGCCAUGCCCAUUUAUUUCUGUACUGUCAAUGGCUCUAUGGCUGCUUUCACACUACAACAGCAGAGUUGAGUAGUUAGCGGCAGACCCAUAUGGCUCAUGAACCCCCAAAUAUUUACUAUCUGGCCCUUUACAGACAGGGCUUGCCAAUUUCUGCUGAUCCCUUGCAAUCUUCAAGGGCCCACGGAGCAUUUUUGGUGUAGAAGCUCAUAUGGCCAAGUGCAGUUCCCACAGAACACCACUCCUUAGCCUCAGAUGUUCUCCAGAAUCCAAAGGAGAAGCACGCAAGCAUGGAAAUAUGAGGAAGCAUGAGUCCAGCAUUUCCAAAAGUGAAACGACGUAACAAGUACAUGUGCAGGAUGGUUGCCACCACCACUGUAGUUGGAUGAAGAAAACACAGUAGAGCAGAAAUUGUCUCCAUUUGGUGCCACUGCCCACAGAAGGUACUGUCACUGUUACAGGAAUUUAGAAUGUAAAACAACACUGUUGUUCUGUGACCUUACUGCUUUAGGCAGGAAGGGUGCAUGACCACAAAGAAUGGACUUCGAAACCAAAACGACCCUGAGCCUUAAAAGAGCCGCACACAGGUGCCUUGGAGGACAGGUUGCCAUAAUGACACAGCACGGGCUCUGGGAGGCUCUUGCUGAACAGCCCCCCUCCGCAGUUAUCAACCAUGAAGGGCCCCUUGGAAUCUCCUUUCUGCUCCAUGGAGAGCCCUUGUAAGCAGAAAUGGCAUGCUCACAGUUAAUGACAUUUUACGCCAUAGAAAAUUAGACACAGAUAUUCCUCUAGUUGAGAGAAGCAGGAAGGGGGGAAAAAAACAACUCAUAGUAACUGUUGCUAAGUUGACUUCACAAUAUUGACAGAGUAGAUGGCUCACCAAAUAAAAACUUUAAGAACAGGGCUAAUUCAAUCCUUCAACCCCUCUUAGGGAUCACAAGGGGCCCUCCCACCAGGAUAGAAGCAGAGCUGAGGUUCUUUUUUCUUCCUGCCUCUAUCGUUAUGUAUCAUCUUCCACACCCUGAGCCCACCACUCCCUUGUCUGCCUAAAGGUGGGUCCCAUGCUUGCAGGCCUUAGGUUCUCCUGCUGGACAAACACAGAAAAUCAACUAUCUACUCACAUUCCUGGAGAGAUGGGAGAGAUAGCCCAGUUCAUUUCACUUCCAGGUGCAGCCAGAACUCAACAUGUUCAUGCUUUUAUAAUUUAAAUAUUUGGUGGACUAUGUGCCAAGGAUUGUGCUUAGGGUUGAGGUUCAGGGGACACAAAAUAGACACAGAAUCUUCUCAGGGCAGUGACAGGUGAGGGGGGCAGGAAGGGCAGUUAUCAGAUAAAUACCCCAGAGUCUAAGGUUAUAUUAUAAGUGAGUCUAAGACUAUGAGUCUACACACUGUGUUCAGUGCCGUGAGGGUGAAUGGCAGGAAUCUAAGAAUAUAAAGGAGAAUCCUCGGGACACCCAGGUGGCUCAGUGGUUGAGCAUCUGCCUUUGGCUCAGGUUGUGAUCCCAGGGUACUGGGAUCGAGUCCUGCAUCGGACUCCCUGCAUGGAGCCUGCUUCUCCCUCUGUCUGUGUCUCUGCCUCUCUCUGCAUCUCUCAUUAAUAAAUAAAUAAAUUCUUAAAAAAAAAUAAAGAGGAAUCUUCAUUCAUUUAAAAUGAAACCAGAAGCAGGAGCAAGAGUUGGUCAGGUGAAGAAUGCAGAUGAGGAGCAUUUCCGGCAGAAGGAAGAGCAGGUGCAGGCACCGUGAGGAAGAGAAAGUGUGUCCUAGUCAAGGGAGGUGAGAGUGAGGCCGGAAAGAGAAGUGGUGGCCUUCUAAGUCAAAGCAGGGGUUUUGUUCCUUCUAAGUACAAUGGGAACCUGUGAACAGGGCAGUGAAGGAUUAGAUCUGAAUAUUUAAAAGACCACCCUGUGCGUGAGAACUAGUCCUAAAGGGCAGGAACGGAAGCAGGGUCAGGAGUUGUUGAGGAAGGAUGCCCCAGGGGCCUGGUUUGGGGGUGGGGUGGGGGCUUGAAGGUGCACAGUAGGUGUGCAGAAGAGGGCAUGAUUCAAGAUAUAUCUGGAAAACAGGAUCAACAGGAGAUCUUGAUAAAUGAGGAAGAAAGAGGUAUCAAGGAUGGUCUCCCAAAUUUUUUGGCAUGAGCUCCCGGGUAGAUAGCUCACCACCAUUUAUCAAGACAAGAAAUAUCCUGGGAAGACGCUAGGGUGAAACAUUAAGAAUUCCAUUUUGCAAACCACACAGCUUAUCUGUAAAGAGCACAGGAAGGGAUCUCUGGAUGGCUCAGUGGUUUAGCGUCUGCCUUCGGCCCAGGGCGUGGUCCUGGAGUUCCAGGAUCGAGUCCCACAUCAGGCUCCCUGCAUGGAGCCUGCUUCUCCCUCUGCCUAUUUCUCUGCCUCUCUUCUCUCUCUCUCUCUCUCUCUCUCUCUGUGUGUGUGUGUGUGUGUGUGUGUCUGUCUGUCACUCAUGAAUAAAUAAAUAAAAUCUUUAAAAAAAUUUUUUAAAAAAAGCACAGGAAGAUUUACUAGCUUCUAGGUAACCUUCUAUGGUCUGUUUUCAUCAUCUGUAAAAUGGGAAUUAUGGUAAAUCUACGUGGUUAUUGUGAUGACAGAAAGGGCAUAUGCAUUUAAAACAUUUGGCAUGAUUCCUGGCACACAGUAAUCCCUCCCCGCCCCCCCCAAAAAAGCUGCUUUGGUUAUUUUUUUACACUUGAAGUUUGAAAUGUCUACCGGUGACCUCAGGCAAGAUGUCCAGUAGGCAGUUAGAUAACUCGGCUCUGCAGCUCAGAACUCUCUCCUGCUGGGAGAGUGGGACAGAUGAUAAACGUUCUGUGCUGCUACAAGAUUAUGAAUCAAACACCUUGUUACAGAUUUUAUAAUAGCAGCUGGAGAUUUACUUGUAGAUUGACUGAAAGGUCAGUGUCUGGGUAUCAACGGCAUAUAGACAGCACUCAAAGUUAUAGAAAACAGAAUAAUUUGAUGUAAAGGUGAACUCUAGGGAGAAAAACUGAGAUGUGAAGGAAUGAGCCUGUAGGGAGCUACUUAAACACAAAACAAAGAUGAAAAGUUGAAGGAAAGUAAAAUAGAAACUAAAAAGUAAAAAUAGAAAGUAAAAAGGGUCUGCCCAUUUUAUUCUAUUUCCCCAAGCAGAAAAAUGACAAUCUUAAAAAGAGAGUCAGUUGCCCCUUACAUAUCGAAGUGUAUACAAAGAUAUAUAUUUGUAAAAUACUCCCUGUAAUGCCAUAAUACCAAAAAGGACCUUAAGCAACCUAAAUCAAUAACAGCAGACAUUAAUUAGGGAAAGUAUGGCACAUCUAUGUAAAGGAAUAAAUUUAGAGCAAUAAACAUCAUGCCAUAGAUGAUUUAUUGGAAAAAUGUUCACAUUUUAGUGGUAUAUCAAAAAAAAUAGGUUACAAACUGUCGUGUAUAAUACACAAUAGGAAAAAAACCCCAAAAAACAAAAAACACCAGCAGAGCAAACAAUACCAGAAAAUCAAUAAUAGCUGAUUCUAGAUAAUAAGAUUUCAGCUGAUAUUUUUUUCCUUGUAUUUUUUUUUUUCAAAAAAAUCAUCAAGAGUAGAUGUUAAUUGUAUAGACAGAAAAUGAAAUGAAGCAGAGAACUCCAUCUCUCCCUCUAAAACACCUGACACUCCUAGGCCUCAAAUCCCCAAACCAAAUGCUCAAGGCAAAUACUAAGAAGACUGAAGACUGGAUACAAAUGUCUCCAUCAUCACCUUCUCAGUAAAAGGAACCUGAUGCUGUCGUAGGUGUGGAGUAUAUUUACUGAUCCUUCCAGAAUGAUAGAGCCAUCCUCCACCAGUGGCUGUGCUUUUCUAACCUUAAAACGACCAAUUUUUAAAAAAAUUUUAUUUAUUUAUUCAUGAGAGACAUAGGGACUGAGAGAGAGGCAGAGACCAGGCAGAGGGAGAAGCAGGCUCCAUGCAGGAAGCCUGACAUGGGACUCGACCCCGGGUCCCCAGGAUCACGCCCUGGGCCGAAGGCGGCGCUAAACCGCUGAGCCACCCGAGCUGCCCAAAAAGACCAAUGUUAAUGUCACAAGUCGGAUUACGUUCUUUCUUGAUCUUCAACAACGUGCAUCAUGAGACAAUCACAGAAAAAAUUCCAUUUUGUCCUAAAAGGAUAAACUUUCAGUCUGUAUAUAUUCACAUACCAUCACACCCACAACCAAACCUGAAAUUUCUUUUUUUUUUUAAAGGGAAGAAUCCCUUUUAAAACCUAUCUGUCUAUCUAUCUAUCUAUCUAUCUAUCUAUCUAUCUAUCUAUCUAUCUAUCAGUCUAGGGGUGGGGGAGGAGCAAAGGUAUAGGAACAAGCAGACUCC
RNAcentral lists this long non-coding RNA (7213 nucleotides) under Canis lupus familiaris (dog). RNAcentral's name for it is "lncRNA (ENSCAFG00845020995.1)". The record is from RNAcentral. Lineage: Eukaryota; Metazoa; Chordata; Mammalia; Carnivora; Canidae.